AUGCUCACAUUGACAGCACAUGUACUAAAAUUGAAAUGAUACAGAGAAGAUUAGCAUGGCCCAGCACAAGGGUGACGUGCAAAUUCAGGAAGUAUUUCAUAUUUGG
This is a small nuclear RNA of Panthera leo (lion), 106 nucleotides long. Lineage: Eukaryota; Metazoa; Chordata; Mammalia; Carnivora; Felidae. The record is from Ensembl.